RNAcentral lists this ribosomal RNA (119 nucleotides) under Lepisosteus oculatus (spotted gar). The record is from RNAcentral. Lineage: Eukaryota; Metazoa; Chordata; Actinopteri; Semionotiformes; Lepisosteidae.
GCCAGCAGCCAUAUCAACCUGGAACUUACAACUGGCAACCCAAUGAAGCGAAGUAGGCAUGAGCCUUGUCAGUACCAGUAUGGGAGACCUCCUGGGAAAACUUAAAGUUGUUGCUGGAA